ACCUCCCACCCGUGUUUAUUUUACCUUGUUGCUUCGGCGGGCCCGCCUUUACUGGCCGCCGGGGGGCUCACGCCCCCGGGCCCGCGCCCGCCGAAGACACCCUCGAACUCUGUCUGAAGAUUGAAGUCUGAGUGAAAAUAUAAAUUAUUUAAAACUUUCAACAACGGAUCUCUUGGUUCCGGCAUCGAUGAAGAACGCAGCGAAAUGCGAUACGUAAUGUGAAUUGCAAAUUCAGUGAAUCAUCGAGUCUUUGAACGCACAUUGCGCCCCCUGGUAUUCCGGGGGGCAUGCCUGUCCGAGCGUCAUUGCUGCCCUCAAGCCCGGCUUGUGUGUUGGGCCCCGUCCUCCGAUUUCCGGGGGACGGGCCCGAAAGGCAGCGGCGGCACCGCGUCCGGUCCUCGAGCGUAUGGGGCUUUGUCACCCGCUCCGUAGGCCCGGCCGGCGCUUGCCGAUCAACCCAAAUUUUUAUCCAGGUUGACCUCGGAUCAGGUAGGGAUACCCGCUGAACUUAAGCAUAUCAU
RNAcentral lists this ribosomal RNA (521 nucleotides) under Penicillium hordei. RNAcentral describes it as "eukaryotic LSU rRNA". The stretch from base 153 to 305 matches the Rfam family "5.8S ribosomal RNA". Lineage: Eukaryota; Fungi; Ascomycota; Eurotiomycetes; Eurotiales; Aspergillaceae. The record is from RNAcentral.